This is a long non-coding RNA of Osmerus eperlanus (European smelt), 939 nucleotides long. RefSeq lists it as uncharacterized. The transcript is spliced from 2 exons. The record is from RefSeq and is a predicted model, not a curated record. Lineage: Eukaryota; Metazoa; Chordata; Actinopteri; Osmeriformes; Osmeridae.
GAAGGAGGAGGUGAAAGAAGCAAUAGAGGAAGAAGAGGAAGAGGAGGAGAACGAGGGUGAGGAGGAGAAAGAGAAAGAGGGUGAAGAGGAAAAUGGGGAGGAAAGCUAAUUAUUGAUAGAUCAUAAAAAGGAAGCUGAAUUGAUGAGAAUGUGAAGGAUGGGAGAAAAGAGGGCGAGAGAAGUGAGAGAGCGGGACAGCUGGAGAGGUGAAGUAACAGUGGAUGGACUGAAGAUGACAGAAGACGUGAAGAAAGAGAAAAAACAGGAUGAAAGGAGAAGAGGAAACUUUGCAGUUACCACAGCUGGGACUACAACCAUCUGAUAUGGACUACAAUACCCAUCAUGCAUCUGUACAAUCAUCACUGCCAUGGGACCUAGGGACGAGGGGGAACUUGUUUUAUCAACCUUUUGUAGCACUCUGGACUAUAAACAGUGAAACACACACACUCUUGUAAGAGCAUGCAAAAGCUGGAGGUGUUCUGUGGAUGGGGAUCCAGGACACACACACACACACCACGCGACUCACCAGACAGACUCUGAGUGGCAUUUUGUUUUCUUCCAUUUUUGUCGGAACAGAAAAUUCAUGAGACAUUCCAGAACUUCAUGAAUGUUCUACAACUGUGAGGGGUUGUCCUGGUCGCUCUGCUGUUAGAGCCUGCAGGUUAUAACAGCUGAUCCAAUACCUGCUCUUGUCCUGGGAUGAACACAUGAAGGAGGAGAUGAUUGGUGAUUACUGGGACGAACACAUGAAGGAGAUGAUUGGUGAUUACUGGGAUGAACACAUGAAGGAGGAGAUGAUUGGUGAUUACUGGGAUGAACACAUGAAGGAGGAGAUGAUUGGUGAUUACUGGGAUGAACACAUGAAGGAGGGGAUGUUUGGUGAUUACUAGGAUGAACACAUGAAGGAAGAGAUGUUUGGUGAUUACUAGGAUGAACACA